AGAGUUUGAUCCUGGCUCAGGAUGAACGCUAGCGGCAGGCUUAAUACAUGCAAGUCGAGGGGCAGCAUGAACUAGCAAUAGUUUGAUGGCGACCGGCAAACGGGUGCGGAACACGUACACAACCUUCCUUUAAGUGGGGAAUAGCCCAGAGAAAUUUGGAUUAAUACCCCGUAACACAACGAAGUGGCAUCACUUUGUUGUUAUAGUUUCGGCGCUUAAUGAUGGGUGUGCGUAUGAUUAGAUAGUUGGCGAGGUAACGGCUCACCAAGUCUACGAUCAUUAGCUGAUGUGAGAGCAUGAUCAGCCACACGGGCACUGAGACACGGGCCCGACUCCUACGGGAGGCAGCAGUAAGGAAUAUUGGUCAAUGGACGCAAGUCUGAACCAGCCAUGCCGCGUGAAGGAUUAAGGUCCUCUGGAUUGUAAACUUCUUUUAUAUGGGACGAAAAAAGGUCUUUCUAGACCCCUUGACGGUACCAUAUGAAUAAGCACCGGCUAACUCCGUGCCAGCAGCCGCGGUAAUACGGAGGGUGCAAGCGUUAUCCGGAUUCACUGGGUUUAAAGGGUGCGUAGGCGGGUAGGUAAGUCAGUGGUGAAAUCCUGGAGCUCAACUCCAGAACUGCCAUUGAUACUAUCUAUCUUGAAUAUUGUGGAGGUAAGCGGAAUAUGUCAUGUAGCGGUGAAAUGCUUAGAUAUGACAUAGAACACCCAUUGCGAAGGCAGCUUACUACGCAUAUAUUGACGCUGAGGCACGAAAGCGUGGGGAUCAAACAGGAUUAGAUACCCUGGUAGUCCACGCCCUAAACUAUGGAUACUCGACAUAUGCGAUACACUGUAUGUGUCUGAGCG
RNAcentral lists this ribosomal RNA (849 nucleotides) under uncultured bacterium. RNAcentral describes it as "bacterial SSU rRNA". It matches the Rfam family "Bacterial small subunit ribosomal RNA", at positions 8 to 853 of the family's 1533-position model. The record is from RNAcentral.